This 471-nucleotide ribosomal RNA is filed under the name uncultured bacterium. RNAcentral's name for it is "SSU rRNA". It matches the Rfam family "Bacterial small subunit ribosomal RNA", at positions 26 to 518 of the family's 1533-position model. The record is from RNAcentral.
AGGACGAACGCUGGCGGCGUGCUUAACACAUGCAAGUCGAGCGGAAAGGCCCUUCGGGGUACUCGAGCGGCGAACGGGUGAGUAACACGUGAGCAAUCUGCCCUUAGCUUCGGGAUAGCCCCGGGAAACCGGGAUUAAUACCGAAUAUGACCUCGGCCGACAUCGGCCUUGGUGGAAAGUUUUUCGGCUAGGGAUGAACUCGCGGCCUAUCAGCUUGUUGGUGGGGUAAUGGCCUACCAAGGCGACGACGGGUAGCCGGCCUGAGAGGGCGACCGGCCACACUGGGACUGAGACACGGCCCAGACUCCUACGGGAGGCAGCAGUGGGGAAUAUUGCGCAAUGGGCGAAAGCCUGACGCAGCGACGCCGCGUGGGGGAUGAAGGCUCUAGGGUUGUAAACCUCUUUCAAGUGGGGACGAUAAUGACGGUACCCGCACGAAGAAGCUCCGGCCAACUACGCGCCAGCAGCCGC